UGAAUUUCAAAAUUUAUACACAGAUAUAUUGGCUGGAGUAUGUUCAUAGCCUAGUCGCCUGAGGCAAAGUUGCAUAACAAAUCUUAACCACACAUAUUAUAAGGCGGAAUUACCCGACAGUGAUUACUUCAUUCAACAAAACGAAAUAAACAAAGAUAAAUUAAUCAUUAGAGAGACAACUGCACUCUUCGGUUGGAAGAGGAAAAGGGACAGGAAUGGACUCCAAUUUCUUGGGCCUCACUGCCAUUGUUACUGUAAUCACUUCCUUUUCCCUUCUUCCUUUUUCUUUUUGUUUCCAUAGGAGCAGUCUCUGAUGCUUUGAAUUAUGAUAUGAUAUUUUCUUUUUUUUUUGGUAAUUAAAAUUUGUAUUAAUCACCAAAGUGGUUUCGCAGCUGACUAUCAAAAGAUAAACAAAAUCUACUAAUUGUACUAUACCUAGAGUUCUACAUUACAGUAGAUAUUGCUGGAGGUGUACUCUAACUCUAGGAGUUGCCCUAAUAUUACAAGUGUAAGCAAUGUUUCUAAGCAGUUUAUGGAACAGAAAGUAUUUCCAAAUAUUCUCACAUUCCUUUCCAACCAUAAGACAUAGAACAUUUCUGCAAAGGUCAUUUUGAAAAUAUGAGCUUGAGGAGAUUUCCCUUUAGCAUUAUCAAUGAUCCAGUGUACAAACUGUGGCCAAUUCUGUCCAGCAGGUUGNNNNNNNNNNNNNNNNNNNNNNNNNNNNNNNNNNNNNNNNNNNNNNNNNNNNNNNNNNNNNNNNNNNNNNNNNNNNNNNNNNNNNNNNNNNNNNNNNNNNNNNNNNNNNNNNNNNNNNNNNNGCAAUGUGUGAUACCUCAGUUGAGUAGCAAAGGGGCAGGCCAGGAACAAGUGGUCUCUGGUCUCCAAUGUUUGUUGACACAUGACACAGUAGCCAUCCACAGUCGAGUUCCAUUUGAUCAACCUCUCUUUAGUAGGAAGUCAGUCUUGUAGAAGCAGCCAAAGGUUGAAGAGUGCUUUAGGUCGAGCAGAAUUCUGUAUGGUUAAAGUUUCCAUCCACAAUCGAGUUCCAUUUGAUCAACCUCUCUUUAGUAGGAAGUCUGUCUUGUAGAAGCAGCCAAAGGUUGAAGAGUGCUUUAGUUCGAGCAGAAUUCUGUAUGGUUAAGUUCUUCCAAGAGACUCUAUGUAACUGUCCAAUCUGUUGAAGAUAAAUCAUUCUGAUAGAGCAUGCAUGCUUAUGCAACAGUUGGUAUUGCUGCAAUAGAAUAGUACCUUCAAUGAUCUUCCGGACCAUCCAACUGGCUUGUUUAGGAAUAUUCAUGGACUCUAAUUGUUGUUGCUUGAUAUAGACUGUGUGAAUCUAUUCCACCCAUAAUACAUCCUUCUUGGGAGCCAAAUCCCAGCUUAGUUUUGCAACAGCAGCUUUGUUCCACUUUAGGAGAUUGGUUAAGCAUAAAUCUCCAGCACACUUUGGUAGACAGAUCUUUUCCCAGGCCACAUAUGCUUUCCUUGUUAUAUUAACUGAGCCAGACCAUAUGUAGGAUCUGCACACUGCUUCUAACAGUUUUAUAACUUUGGAAGGAAUGAGAAACAGUUGAGCCCAAUAAGCUUGAAUACCAAAGAUUACUGAUUGCACCAAUCAGUUUAUUUUUUUCGUUAUCACAGCACUCCUCAAGUUUGAUAAAGUUACUGAUACUGACUUUGCCGGUACGAAUUAUUAUAUCUUCAUCACCUUAUAUUUUUGUUUCUUUGAAUUUUCUCUUUCAAGUUCAUGAAAUUUUACCUUAUCCACCGUUGAAAAGAAUAUAAUACGUAGAAUUUAUUGAAAUUUAAGGAAAGGUUCAGUUUCGGCUUAAACUUUGGUGGCUUGGGAAUACAUGUUGUUUCAUUCUUGUACAAAUUUCUGGUAUUGUUUUGCUCUUUUUUCUCCUUUGUUUUGGGUUGAGAGGAGGUGUGGAAUGGGGCUAUUCUUUUGAGAUUUGGAAAGUGCUCUUUUAUCAGUGUUGUUAAUCUGACACUUUUUAUCAUACACGAUAAUCUUUUUUUAAUUACUGGAACAGGGAAGCUGAGUCUUUCUAAAUACAAUUUCUCAGAGAUGUCAAUCAAUUCUUUUAGACGUGUGCUUCAAUGAUAGUAUGUAACUUUAUGCCCCAGUAAACUCUCUCUCUCUCACACACACCGCGCAAGUGCAUUAGCUUUCUUAUUCUAUUUUAGUGAUUAUUGGACUGAUUCAGACUCGAUUUUCCUAUUUAUAGGCGCCAUGAGUUCACUUAUACUUCACAAGUUGCCUCUUAAAACAGUGGGAUAGUCUAUGUUGGCCUUAGAAUCAUGGCAAAGUUAUCAUUAUUUGGGAUAAAUUUUAAAUACCUACUACACUAAUAGAGUCUCGUGGCCUAUCUUCUUUACGUACCUUAACCAAUCCAUUCAUCGUGCACCAUGGUAGUAUUUUCCAUUGGAGCACCUCCAUUAUGAAUACCAUUCUGUUUGACUUAAACUUUGUUUAUGCUUAUAUUAUUCCCCUUCUUUUUAUUUUGGGGN
This 2514-nucleotide long non-coding RNA is filed under the name Nicotiana benthamiana. RNAcentral describes it as "long non-coding RNA (NBEN_LNC022260)". Lineage: Eukaryota; Viridiplantae; Streptophyta; Magnoliopsida; Solanales; Solanaceae. The record is from RNAcentral.